UUUGGAGUCUUGAAGAGUUGAUCGCAGAAGUUAUUCAAAUUGGAGAACGAAGACUCAUUCGGAAAGCUCGACACCUAAAGGUAUGAAGAAAAGAUCAUUUGUGGUGAAGAUACCUAAUUAGAAUAAGUUCAGAAGGCUUAGAUUGCUUUAAAACAAUUUUUCUGAACUUUCAUGUGUUCUGGGACCGGUCCCUGAAAUGGAGAGACCGGUUCCCCUAAGGUCCUCACUGCGUGAGUUCUGAUGCAACCGGUCC
Molecule: long non-coding RNA, 253 nt
Filed under: Ananas comosus (pineapple)
Lineage: Eukaryota; Viridiplantae; Streptophyta; Magnoliopsida; Poales; Bromeliaceae
Description: long non-coding RNA (ACOM_LNC038129)
Source: RNAcentral